UGGGGAAUAUUGGACAAUGGGCGAAAGCCUGAUCCAGCCAUGCCGCGUGUGUGAAGAAGGUCUUCGGAUUGUAAAGCACUUUAAGUUGGGAGGAAGGGCAGUAAGCGAAUACCUUGCUGUUUUGACGUUACCGACAGAAUAAGCACUGGCUAACUCUGUGCCAGCAGCCGCGGUAAUACAGAGGGUGCAAGCGUUAAUCGGAAUUACUGGGCGUAAAGCGCGCGUAGAUGGUUCGUUAAGUUGAAUGUGAAAGCCCCGGGCUCAACCUGGGAACUGCAUCCAAAAAUGGCGAGCUAGAGUAGGGCAGAGGGUGGUGGAAUUUCCUGAGUGGCGGUGAAAUGCGUAGGUAUAGGAAGGAACACAAAUGGCGAAGGCAACCACCUGGGCUCAUACUGACACUGAGAUGCGAAAGCGUGGGGAGCAAACAGG
RNAcentral lists this ribosomal RNA (429 nucleotides) under Pseudomonadota bacterium. RNAcentral describes it as "Proteobacteria bacterium partial 16S ribosomal RNA". It matches the Rfam family "Bacterial small subunit ribosomal RNA", at positions 355 to 776 of the family's 1533-position model. Lineage: Bacteria; Pseudomonadati; Pseudomonadota. The record is from RNAcentral.